CCCUUAGAUGUUCUGGGCCGCACGCGCGCUACACUGACGAUGGCAACGAGUUUUUCCUUCGCCGAAAGGUGUGGGUAAUCUUUUGAAACAUCGUCGUGCUGGGGAUAGAUCAUUGCAAUUUUUGAUCUUGAACGAGGAAUUCCUAGUAAGCGCGAGUCAUCAGCUCGCGUUGAUUACGUCCCUGCCCUUUGUACACACCGCCCGUCGCUACUACCGAUUGAAUGGUUUAGUGAGGACUCCUGAUUGGCGCCGCCGCCCCGGCAACGGAGCAGCGGACUGCCGAGAAGUUGUUCAAACUUGAUCAUUUAGAGGAAGUAAAGGUCGUAACA
Molecule: ribosomal RNA, 329 nt
Filed under: uncultured eukaryote
Lineage: Eukaryota
Description: partial 18S ribosomal RNA
Rfam family: Eukaryotic small subunit ribosomal RNA
Source: RNAcentral